AUUGAACGCUGGCGGCAGGCCUAACACAUGCAAGUCGAACGAGUGGCGGACGGGUGAGUAAUGUCUGGGAAACUGCCCGAUGGAGGGGGAUAACUACUGGAAACGGUAGCUAAUAACGCAUACCAUCGGAUGUGCCCAGCUGGGAUUAGAUAGGAGGUGGGGUAACGGCUCACCUAGGCGCCGAUCCCUAGCUGGUCUGAGAGGAUGACCAGCGACACUGGAACUGAGACACGGUCCAGACUCCGCCGGGAGGCAGCAGGGGGGAAUAUUGCACAAUGGGCGCAAGCCUGAUGCAGCCAGGCCUCGUUUAUGAAGAAGGCCUUCGGGUUGUAAAGUACUUUCAGCGAGGAGGCGUUACUCGCAGAAGAAGCACCGGCUAACUCCGUGCCAGCAGCCGCGGUAAUUC
This 406-nucleotide ribosomal RNA is filed under the name uncultured bacterium. Its description in RNAcentral is "partial 16S ribosomal RNA". It matches the Rfam family "Bacterial small subunit ribosomal RNA", at positions 30 to 526 of the family's 1533-position model. The record is from RNAcentral.